This 433-nucleotide ribosomal RNA is filed under the name uncultured bacterium. Its description in RNAcentral is "partial 16S ribosomal RNA". It matches the Rfam family "Bacterial small subunit ribosomal RNA", at positions 29 to 507 of the family's 1533-position model. The record is from RNAcentral.
AACGAACGCUGGCGGCAUGCCUAACACAUGCAAGUCGAACGAGACCUUCGGGUCUAGUGGCGCACGGGUACGUAACGCGUGGGAACCUGCCCUUAGGUUCGGAAUAACUCCCCGAAAGGGGUGCUAAUACCGGAUAAUGUCUUCGGACCAAAGAUUUAUCGCCUUUGGAUGGGCCCGCGUUGGAUUAGCUAGUUGGUAGGGUAAAAGCCUACCAAGGCGACGAUCCAUAGCUGGUCUGAGAGGAUGAUCAGCCACACUGGGACUGAGACACGGCCCAGACUCCUACGGGAGGCAGCAGUGGGGAAUAUUGGACAAUGGGCGAAAGCCUGAUCCAGCAAUGCCGCGUGAGUGAUGAAGGCCUUAGGGUUGUAAAGCUCUUUUACCCGGGAUGAUAAUGACAGUACCGGAAGAAUAAGCUCCGGCUAACUCCGUG